UGGGGAAUAUUGGACAAUGGGCGCAAGCCUGAUCCAGCAAUGCCGCGUGUGUGAAGAAGGCCUUCGGGUUGUAAAGCACUUUUGUCCGGAAAGAAAUCCUCUGGGUUAAUACCUCGGGGGGAUGACGGUACCGGAAGAAUAAGCACCGGCUAACUACGUGCCAGCAGCCGCGGUAAUACGUAGGGUGCAAGCGUUAAUCGGAAUUACUGGGCGUAAAGCGUGCGCAGGCGGUUUUGUAAGACGGAUGUGAAAUCCCCGGGCUUAACCUGGGAACUGCAUUCGUGACUGCAAGGCUAGAGUAUGGCAGAGGGGGGUAGAAUUCCACGUGUAGCAGUGAAAUGCGUAGAGAUGUGGAGGAAUACCGAUGGCGAAGGCAGCCCCCUGGGCCAAUACUGACGCUCAUGCACGAAAGCGUGGGGAGCAAACAGGAUUAGAUACCCUGGUAGUCCACGCCCUAAACGAUGUCAACUAGUUGUUGGGGAUUCAUUUCCUUAGUAACGUAGCUAACGCGUGAAGUUGACCGCCUGGGGAGUACGGUCGCAAGAUUAAAACUCAAAGGAAUUGACGGGGUCAUAGCUGUUUCCU
Molecule: ribosomal RNA, 585 nt
Filed under: uncultured bacterium
Lineage: Bacteria
Description: partial 16S ribosomal RNA
Rfam family: Bacterial small subunit ribosomal RNA
Source: RNAcentral